GAUCAUGGCUCAGGAUGAACGCUAGCUACAGGCUUAACACGUGCAAGUCGAGGGGCAGCAUGGUCUUAGCUUGCUAAGGCCGAUGGCGACCGGCGCACGGGUGAGUAACACGUAUCCAACCUGCCGUCUACUCUUGGACAGCCUUCUGAAAGGAAGAUUAAUACAAGGUGGCAUCAUGAGUUCACAUGUUCACAUGAUUAAAGGUAUUCCGGUAGACGAUGGGGAUGCG
This 229-nucleotide ribosomal RNA is filed under the name uncultured bacterium. Its description in RNAcentral is "partial 16S ribosomal RNA". It matches the Rfam family "Bacterial small subunit ribosomal RNA", at positions 15 to 235 of the family's 1533-position model. The record is from RNAcentral.